CAGGGAUUGAACCUGAUACCCCUGCAUUGGUGGUAUGGAGUCUUAACCACUGGACCACCAGGGGAGUCUCACGCCGUUCUCUUUCUUAGUAUUGCUCCCUGUCUGUCUCUGUCUUUUAUUUCCCUUCUCUCUGUCCGUCCCUUCUCCCUCUUUCUCUCUCUCUCUCAAUGUUUGUGGACAUUGCUUUCUUUACCUGUGAGUGUAUGAUGCCUGGAUAGUCAGGGAUUCCCUUUGUGUGUGUAUCUGCCUGGAUGGCCCUGCUCCCUCUCAUUGUUUAUGGAACAUGAUGUAUAUUUGCACACCUGGUAGUUGGUGUGUUCUCUUUGGGACCCCAGAAGUCUGUGUGUGUCUGUGUUGGAAACAUGGGCUUCCUAUUCGUGUUUAUCUGUGUGCCCUAGUGUCUGUGUACACUUUGAUGGUUUGAAGAUUCUGAGUGUGUUCCUGAAUAUUCCCCUCUGUCUCUGUGUUUGUUUCUGCCUGCUCCCUUGGAUGCUUGCAUUUCUCUGCGGUAUGAUACCUGGGGGUCCAUGCUCUCCUCCCUCCCCCCAAAGGAUGUGAUCCCUCGUGUGUAACCCCCCAGAGGGGUGUUUGUUUAUCCCUCACUUCCUCUCCAAGAAACCAGGGUUUUCCCACCAUCGCAAAUCCAUGAACUUUUCAAAUUGUUGCCCACAGGUUAAACCUUCAUGAUCUAGACCAGAGGUUGGCAAGCUUUUCCUUAAGGGGUCAGACGCCCACAACGUGGAUCCCAGGAGGGAACAGGAAGUGGCUUGAGAAAAUAAACCCAGCUCACUGGUCCUGUGGAUGGCGCCCUCUCCACACCAGAAAGCGGCAAGCAGGCUUGGAGAAAUAUAUCCUGGUGGGCACCAUUUUCUCCAGAGUCCAAUGGGGCAAACAACAGUCCCAGCUGGAUUCAACGAAGAGCUUAGAGGAUUCAUUUGAAGCAGCCCACAGGGAAGGGUGUCGCUGAGGAAACAAAACCCAGACCCCCCAGGCCUCUGAGCGAGGGGUGGGAGCUUGCUGGGAAAACACUUUCACCUGAGAAGCACAAAGGAC
Molecule: long non-coding RNA, 1053 nt
Filed under: Capra hircus (goat)
Lineage: Eukaryota; Metazoa; Chordata; Mammalia; Artiodactyla; Bovidae
Description: lncRNA (ENSCHIG00000007046.1)
Source: RNAcentral